CAAGUACUUUGUUAAAGGGCGCCAGGCUGUCCUUGGCAUGGUCCGGAAGGCAAAGUACCGGGAGCUGCUCCUAUCAGAGCUCCUGGGCCGGCGGGUGCCUGUCGUGGUGCGGCUUGGCCUCACCUACCAUGUGCACGACCUCAUUGGGGCCCAGCUAGUGGACUGCAUCUCUACCACUUCAGGAACCCUCCUCCGCCUGCCAGAGACAUGA
Molecule: long non-coding RNA, 211 nt
Filed under: Homo sapiens (human)
Lineage: Eukaryota; Metazoa; Chordata; Mammalia; Primates; Hominidae
Description: non-protein coding lnc-C4B-1:1
Source: RNAcentral